UAUCCAUUUCUUUCUGCUUCCAUGUAAUAGUAUUUGUAUACAGUUCUGUCAUGAAUCAGUUCAGUGAGCAAUGCACCAGUGACAGUAUUUAUGAAAGGUUAUUUUCAGGUUGUUCCUUAAUGACACUUAUCUCUUACUCACAGAUGGAGCUGCCCUAGAUGUAGUUACUAGCUUAUAUUUUCAUUACCACCAGCCACUGUAAACAUAGUAGUGACAAAUAAUUUUCAGGUUUAGGCAGAGCCACAUCCAGUUCACACGCUAAAUUUCAUUGUAUCUCACAGUGCUGUAAUCAACCUUUUCCAGAAGCAUAUAUAUAUAUAUAUAGAUAUAUGUAUGUACAUAUAUAUCAAUUUGAUAGACUACACUAAACUUUAUUUUAUUAUGCAAUUGAAUCUGCUGAAACUUAUUUGCUUUUUUCUUCAUACUGUACUUGUCCCAGUAGUCAUUUUCCACCCUGUUAGAAUGUGCUUUAUUGCCUUAAAAAAAACUACAAUUCCAUAAAAGCCAUUUAGAGGAAGUGACAUCGUUUGUUUUUGGAGGGAAUUCAACAGUGGAAAAUGAGGUAAGCUUCCACUGUCAUUCUCACUUUACUUUUUUUAAUCGUAAACAUGUUACACUUGUAUGGGUGACUCUCACGUUCCACCCUGUUAAGGUCAAUUAUCGAAAAUGUUAAUUAAGUAGAAUAUUUUUUAAAACAUAUUGGAUUUAGGUAUUAAAGGCGUGUUAAUCUAUUGAAGGUUAGCUAGCUAAAUGUUGAUCAGCUAAAGAGCUACAGCUAGAUUAUCACAGGUCAUCACAAGCGACCAUGUUGGUAGAUGGUGUGUGAUAGAAUAUGACCACGACUGGCAUCAUCACAAAGGUGGAAGAUGGGACCAUUGAAGUGAACUGUCUCCGUAAAAAAGGAAUUAACAAGUAUUUCUGGCCAAGCCCAAGGAAGGACAUCAUUUGGUUUGGUGACAAUCAGGCACUUUGCCCGACAGAGGUGCCAAAGACCCUCAAAAGAUAUCUGCAGCUUGAUCCUGUUACAUGGAAUUUAAAUGAAGAGCAGAUUUAAUGCCAUUACCACCACUCCCCUCCCCACUUCAUUUAAUCGUUUGUGUUGGUUAAAGGAAUGCACCACCUUUUUAUGAAACUGUCACUCACAGUCAUCCCUCAAGUUGAACAAGUGGAAAAAGCUUCUAGCAAGCAUGCAUUGCCCUGCUCUGGCAGCGUCGCCAUUAGCUUUAGCUUAGCACAGUCACUGUAAAGUAGAGGAGCCAGUUAGUAAGUCGUUUGCAAAAGUGAACCAAAAAUGUCAUAAUUUUUCCUGGAUAUAAAGACUUACACAGACAUCAAGAUAAUUUCUAGUUCACAGGCUCAAUAAUAAUAUAUAUAUAACAUCAGGUUUUUGUGUUUCUCCUAGUUGAGUAAACGUACAUUAUAAUGUCUCAUGAAACUGUGUGUGUGUUUCUUUGUAAUUUCAGAAUGGCUUCAUCAAAAAGCCCUCGUAACACCAAUGAGGCUGCCACCAUUAACUGUAAAAGUGAUCUGUCUUAAAGAAACUCAAAAAGUGACUGAUUGGCAUUUCUCCAAUGGCCAUGCAAGGCCCAAAACUGUACAUAAUAAUAGUAUUGCAGCAGUAAGUGAUGGGACCAAUCUAUUCAGAUUUAUUGUAUUUGAAAGCUUGGCCUCCCAAUUUAAAGAGGGCAAAUCUUGCACCAUAAAAAAUUUUGGAAUGAGCAAAUUUUGAAGCGCAAGGUCGAUGCUUUCCAGUAAAGACACAGCCAUCUACGUAAGCGCCCACAUCCAGGUCAGUCAGCAGCUGGAGGAUGAGGCAAGGCCACUUCUGGGGCCACCCACCACUUUGGUGUUACUGAACAACAUCAGCCAAUCUCAGAUGGAUUAUGUAACAGUAAAAGGAUGGGUCACAGCUAUGAAAUGAGAGGUCAAGAUGGCACUCUGGAGAGAGGCUGUGUGCUCACCCCAGUCUGUGUAGGAUCACCAGUUGAAAUAAGUCAUGUCAGAGGAAAGAACUCACUGACUGUGAUUAAGCCUGGAACUGGGGUCCAUGAGGUUAAACCCAAAGGUUACAGAACUAUUGACUCGGAUAACAUACCACAUAUUGUACCAUCAGCUGUGUGACUCAAGGUUUUCCCAGACAGCCCAGAAAUCCUUCCUUCACCGAUUAUGUUGCAUUACAAAAAUGGCACAGUAAUCGAUGCCAGAGGAGUAGCACCCUUUAGUGAUUUCCCAGCACUUCUAUUUAUUUACUUAUUUAUUUAAUGUAUUUCUUUAUUUAUCUGUUUAUCUAUCUUUGAGUAAUCAGUUAAAGAUGAAAAUUAAAUAAGUUAUGAAAAAAAUCAGUUAAUCAGUUCAUUGUUUUUUGGGGUUUUGUUGUUCCUGACUGUUUUAAUAAAUGCUUUUCAAACUUGGUGCGUCUUAUUUAAUAUUAUGAAAAAUGUAUUUACUUAUACUACAAAUGAGUUGAGGGGGC
Molecule: long non-coding RNA, 2473 nt
Organism: Oreochromis niloticus (Nile tilapia)
Lineage: Eukaryota; Metazoa; Chordata; Actinopteri; Cichliformes; Cichlidae
Exons: 3
Source: RefSeq, a predicted model, not a curated record